Molecule: long non-coding RNA, 281 nt
Filed under: Bos indicus x Bos taurus (hybrid cattle)
Lineage: Eukaryota; Metazoa; Chordata; Mammalia; Artiodactyla; Bovidae
Description: lncRNA (ENSBIXG00000017663.1)
Source: RNAcentral
CGGCAUGGAUGUGUUCCGACCGAGCACUACGGGUCUGGAUGGAGAGCAGGUUCUGUCAUCCAUCCUGAUGCUCCUGUGAAAAAACGUAUGAUCUGGUCCUCCGAAGAGUUCCGCUCCCUCGUUCCUCACCGUGACCUUCAUUGUGGACAGCUGGGGUGGGAUGCUGACUAAAGAUAAGAGAACUGCGGGAUUCAUCUGCAUCUGCAGGAGCCUAAAUAUCCAUGUAAUUCAGGGAUAGUAUUAAAAAUAAAACUUCCUACUUUUCCUAUUUAUUAUCUUAU